UGCUAUACAUGCAGUCGUACGCUAGCCGCUGAAUUGAUCCUUCGGGUGAAGUGAGGCAAUGACUAGAGUGGCGAACUGGUGAGUAACACGUAAGAAACCUGCCCUUUAGUGGGGGAUAACAUUUGGAAACAGAUGCUAAUACCGCGUAACAACAAAUCACACAUGUGAUCUGUUUGAAAGGUCCUUUUGGAUCGCUAGAGGAUGGUCUUGCGGCGUAUUAGCUUGUUGGUAGGGUAGAAGCCUACCAAGGCAAUGAUGCGUAGCCGAGUUGAGAGACUGGCCGGCCACAUUGGGACUGAGACACUGCCCAAACUCCUACGGGAGGCUGCAGUAGGGAAUUUUCCGCAAUGCACGAAAGUGUGACGGAGCGACGCCGCGUGUGUGAUGAAGGCUUUCGGGUCGUAAAGCACUGUUGUAAGGGAAGAAUAACUGAAUUCAGAGAAAGUUUUCAGCUUGACGGUACCUUACCAGAAAGGGAUGGCUAAAUACGUGCCAGCAGCCGCGGUAAUACGUAUGUCCCGAGCGUUAUCCGGAUUUAUUGGGCGUAAAGCGAGCGCAGACGGUUUAUUAAGUCUGAUGUGAAAUCCCGAGGCCCAACCUCGGAACUGCAUUGGAAACUGAUUUACUUGAGUGCGAUAGAGGCAAGUGGAACUCCAUGUGUAGCGGUGAAAUGCGUAGAUAUGUGGAAGAACACCAGUGGCGAAAGCGGCUUGCUAGAUCGUAACUGACGUUGAGGCUCGAAAGUAUGGGUAGCAAACGGGAUUAGAUACCCCGGUAGUCCAUACCGUAAACGAUGGGUGCUAGUUGUUAAGAGGUUUCCGCCUCCUAGUGACGUAGCAAACGCAUUAAGCACCCCGCCUGAGGAGUACGGCCGCAAGGCUAAAACUUAAAGGAAUUGACGGGGACCCGCACAAGCGGUGGAGCAUGUGGUUUAAUUCGAAGAUACGCGAAAAACCUUACCAGGUCUUGACAUACCAAUGAUCGCUUUUGUAAUGAAAGCUUUUCUUCGGAACAUUGGAUACAGGUGGUGCAUGGUCGUCGUCAGCUCGUGUCGUGAGAUGUUGGGUUAAGUCCCGCAACGAGCGCAACCCUUGUUAUUAGUUGCCAGCAUUUAGUUGGGCACUCUAAUGAGAACUGCCGGUGAUAAACCGGAAGAAAGUGGGGG
Molecule: ribosomal RNA, 1165 nt
Filed under: Oenococcus oeni
Lineage: Bacteria; Bacillati; Bacillota; Bacilli; Lactobacillales; Lactobacillaceae
Description: bacterial SSU rRNA
Rfam family: Bacterial small subunit ribosomal RNA
Source: RNAcentral